UCUUUUCUGUAGGAAUUCUUUGUGUCAAAGAGAAGUGAAUUUCUCAAAUGCAAACAGAUAAAGGAUGCAUUGUGGUCAUCAACUAAUUUCUGAAGGUGCAGUCAAACAGAAAACUAAGAAAUUUCAGAAUAAUACUAAAGAUUUGAGUCCAGAAAUCUGGGAGAAGCCAAGGAUCAGUGAGCUGCUUUGGAAGACAGUUGGCAAAGAGAUUAAAAAGGCUUUUGGCAUGGAGAUUGAAAAGGCUCCAGAGAUCAGCUACUAUGUCAACCCAAAGAGUGGGUACCAGGUCCUUGGUAAAGAUCUCAAGGAAAUACACAAAGCUGCUAUCAUUGGUGACAAAGUGAAAAUGGAGAAAGUUCUUUUGCAGCAGAUACCUACGCUGAAUGAUAGAGACAAGAACAACAGGACUGCUCUUCAUUUUGCUUGUGUCAAUGGCCACCAUGAAGUGGUAAUUCAACUGAUGGAUGCAAAAUGCAAGCUUAAUCUCUGUGACAAUGAAAAUAGAACAGCUCUUAUUAAGGCCAUACAAUGUCAGCAGAUAGAAUGUGCCUUCAUUCUACUAGAACAUCUAGCAGAUCCCAAGGUGACAGAUUGCUAUGGGAACACUGCUCUCCACUAUGCUGCCUGUUGGGAGAAUUUGUCGAUAGCUACAAAGCUGCUUUCACAGGGUGUUGAUAUCGAAGCAAGAAACAAGAAUGGAUUCACACCACUCUUACUUGCUGUGAGUAAAAACAAUCAGCAAAUGCUGGAAUUCUUAACAAGCAAAGGUGCAAAUGUACGUGCAGUGGAUGCAUUGAAAAGAACUGCCCUCAUGCUUGCUCUGCACUGUGUAGCCCCCAAAAUGAUCAUAUUUCUUCUUCAACAAGGAAUUGAUGUCCUUUGUAGAGAUAUCUUUGGAAGAAGUGCUAAGGACCAUGCUAUUAACUAUGGUUUGAAUAUGAAUUGUCAACAAAUUACUGAAUAUUUGUCCGAAAAUGAAAGCGGAAAAUCUCAAGUUAGAAAUCAGGGAGUAAAUGAUAAUUCUAGAGAAAGUUCUCUAUGCAGCAAUCAUCAGAUAACUUCUGAGGAUACAGUAGAACGUGCAAAGCCAAACUUUUGUCCAAAUAUGAUUUAUGGUCUUUAUUAUGGAGCAUAUGAUACUGAAGAAUACUAUUUAAGCAGUAGCAAUCAACAGCUGCUUCCUGAAGACAUAGCAGGACAAAGAACUAAAAGUUCUGAAAAUAAUACUCAAGAUUUUGGUUCUGCUGCUGUGAAUAAUGAGACUUGUUCAAGACCCAGAAAGAUCAUAGUAGGUGACAGAUCACAGUCUGUGCCACAAAAUCUGUCAGCAGGCAGAAGAAUGGUACAUAGUUACUUUUCAGAAGAUCCUGAAAGUUGUCAUAAACUUCUGCCUGAUGUGGAAGAAAUAGAAACUAUUCCUUACAGAGCAGCGUGGAAAUAUCUACAAGCAUGUAAACCAGCUUUUCCUGAAAAAUACCCUGACAUGAAGCCUACCACAGAAGUGAAAGAUUCUGUUCCUAAUAAAGGAGAUGCACAAGCAUAUGUAUCAGGCUCUCCUGAAAAAGACCCCAACUUGAAGUCUCCCAUGGAAGUGGAAGAUUCUGUUGCCAAUAAAGCAGUAGGGAUAAAAGAUGUGCAAGCACCUAGAUCAGGCCUAUAAAGAAGACAUCUAACAAAAAGAACAAGGUUAAAAAGCAAAGUAAUUUUAUGGAUGUCCACGAUGGGUUAACUCAGCCUGAAAAACAAAAAAGUUUCAGAGGAUUAUGCAGUGGAAUUUGGGUCUGCUUUCCCCAGUCUCUCAUCUAGGAUCUUCUACUGCUGAGGCAAAUGAAACAGAAGACCUACUUUUCAGCAGCUCAGUGUUGAGAGCUUAUUCUUUGCAGGUGUGAGAGCCCACAUUCCAGUCCCAUCAAUGUACGAGACAGCUGACUGAACUAUGUCUUAAAAAAAAAAAAACAAUCAUUAAAUAAACCAUUUUGAAAAUUUACCAUUGUUACAGGAAUUUGUAGAUAUUUUUAAGUAUACUGUCUGAUCUGGGAAAAAAUAGUAAAAAUUUGUUUAUGGAA
Erinaceus europaeus (western European hedgehog) is the source of this 2066-nucleotide RNA transcript. It is a transcript of the gene named POTE ankyrin domain family member A-like, with no coding region annotated. Lineage: Eukaryota; Metazoa; Chordata; Mammalia; Eulipotyphla; Erinaceidae. The transcript is spliced from 22 exons. The record is from RefSeq and is a predicted model, not a curated record.